Molecule: small nuclear RNA, 18 nt
Filed under: Arabidopsis thaliana (thale cress)
Lineage: Eukaryota; Viridiplantae; Streptophyta; Magnoliopsida; Brassicales; Brassicaceae
Description: snRNA_07406
Source: RNAcentral
UCGGGAGCUUUCCCCGGG